RNAcentral lists this small RNA (104 nucleotides) under Streptococcus cristatus ATCC 51100. Its description in RNAcentral is "Streptococcus sRNA SpF25". It matches the Rfam family "Streptococcus sRNA SpF25". Lineage: Bacteria; Bacillati; Bacillota; Bacilli; Lactobacillales; Streptococcaceae. The record is from Rfam by way of RNAcentral.
GCAUGGGAUAGCCUUUCUAAAUGUUUUUUUUUUGAGCAAUUCUAUUUUAGCAAGACUAUCGCAACCAUGCAAAAAGCAACGGCAAAUCCGUUGCUUAUUUUUGU